CAGGGCUCGAACUCAUGAACCAUUAGGUCAUGACCUGAGCUGAAGUACAGUGCUCAACCGACUGAGCCACACAGGUGCCCCUCUCUGCAUCUAUUUUGUUCUUCUUUCUCACUGCAGAGCAUCUUUUAUUGCUUUCCAGACCAUGUGGUAGAAAAAGACCACCUAUUGCUUCUGGGUCUAAAUAUUACAAGUCCAAGCAUUCAAGGAAGGGACUACUCCCUUUCCUUCAGAAUUAAUUCCAAAUUCCUUGGGGCAAGACUGUCUUAGACCGGAUGCAUAGGGGUCAGGUUCACGAGCUACAGGAAGCUAUGACUAAAACCAAAUAGAUGGGGAAGGGCUCCCCACCAAGGAGCUGCUAGAUAGACAUGUGAAUAGGUGUCCACAACAGAUGCGCUAACAGACUUCAGUCCUGGAUAGGAAGUGAACAUGAUGAACUUCUAAUGAUGAUUCUGUGGUCUUUUUUUUUUUUUUUUAAGAAUUACUUUUUUUUUUAAGUUUACUUAUUUUGAGAGAGUGAGAGUAUGCAAACAGGGGAAGGGCAGAGAGAGAGGCAGACAGAGAAUCUCAAGCAGGCUCUGCACAGUCAGCGCAGAGUGCAACUCAGGGUUGGAUCUCACAAAUUAUGAGAUCGUGACCUGAGCCAAAAUCAAGAGUUGGAUACUUAACCAACUGAGCCACCCAGGUUCCCCAUGAUUCUGUGAACUUACUAACUCUGUGCUUUUCUUGCCACUUGGAUAGAUUGCUUGCCCCUCUUCUGCCAAAUCCCAUUACUUUCUUCAAGAUUUGAUUCAAAACUGACCUCUUAAAUGAAUGAGCUUUCCCUGUCUAUUCCUAUUGUAGGAAUGCCCUCAGCACCUUUGUAUACAAUGUUAAUCUUAUUAUUAGGAACCUAUUCAUACAUAGUUGUACAUAAUAUUUUCUAAUCUCACCAGUGGGUGUUAUCCCAAUAGUUUAGACAGCUAUAGAAGGAUGGAGACCUUGGUUUUUUUUCCCUCCUUUGCAACCACCAAGCUCCCUGUAGACAGUAAAGAAAAAAAAGGAGGAAGGGGAGAAGAAGACGGAAGAAGAAAGGAGGAGGAGGAAGAAGAAGCAAGGAGAAGGUGGGAGGAGGAGAAUGAGAGAGAGAGAGGAGGAGGAGGAAGAAGAAUGGAAGGAGGAGGUAGGAGGGGAAGGGGGAGGAGGAGGAGGACCACAGGAGCUACAGUUUCUUUCUCCUGUGUUCUGUGAACAGAUUUCCUGUUUGCCGUGAGGUUUCCCAUUCCCAGGAGGACAUGUGAAAUUGGUGAGUCAGAAAAGCACAGAACUCUAUAAUUUGGGUCCCCUGGUCCAUAAGCAAGCUCACUUAUGACUGUUUUCUUGUCACCGUCCUGUUUACCUCUUGAGAUUCUCCCCUCCUUGUGACAUCAAACUGCCUGUCUAAUUAUUCCCCAUGACAGAUUUGAGUCACAAUAAGGCUCAUGUCCAGGCACUGCAGUGUGUAAUACCAACAUAAGCCCUGUCCUGUCCUAUUCUUUCUUUAUUCAAAGAAACAUUUACUGAGCCAGGAACUGUCAUAGGAGCCUAGGAUCCAUGAACAAAACAGACCCAAGCUCUACAAUGAUUCUGCUUAUAUUUUGCCUGCUUGAUGUAUCAGUUUCUGAGCUGGUAUGAACUCUAGAUUGGUGGCAAAGAGAAAAUCAUUGAGUUAGAAGAUAAUACAUGAUGCAACAAAGAGAAACAAAGAAAGAAAAAUAUGAAAGAGCAGUUAAAAGACAUAGAGGAUGAAUCGAGAGGAGUGAGCGUGAAGUCCGUAACAGCAAAAUGGAGGGGUUGAUAGGAAAGAACUAUCUGAAGAGACAGUGACUUAUAUGAGGACUGGAGAUGAGUUUGCAAGAGAAGUUGUAACUGAGAUGUGUGCAUAAAGACGGAAUUUUAAAGAUCUUUAUCCUCUUCAAGGAAUAGCUGGCUGAGCUCACAGGGAGAUGAGCCAGUUUUAGCUUGAGUAACCUGUUUUAGCUUGAGCUCUAGGUUAGGAAAAAAGUCUUUCUGAGAAUUCAUAACCGUGGCUCUGCCCUCACACAGGUUGGCGCCUGAAUUUAUACUGUCAUGACCCAAGAACCCAGGAGUCAAGAAAUUAUUAUAAAAAGUUGUUCCUGGCUAGUAAUACCCUGCAGCAUGUAGCAGAAGCAAACACAAAAAUCCUCCCUAGAGUGACACACCCUUAACCAGGUUGCACAGGAUUCCUACACCUGAAGCUUCACAGAAGAUGAACUCAUGAAUAACAUGAGUAACAACAUGAAUAACAACCCACCAUGAACAAACAUUUACAAAAAUCAGGAUUAGACCCCCAAUUAUUUCAUGUGAUUAAAAUGAUUAAAGAAAAAAAAAGAAUUAAAAACAAGAGGAAAAAAAUCAGAAAAAAUCAAGCAGAUGUCAAAAAGAUCCAAGUGUCACUUUUAGAAAUAAAAAAUAUAGGCACAGAUUGGCUUAAUAGAAACUAUACCAAUCUGAAGAAAAAGUGACUUGGCAGACAUAUCUGAGGUAAUUACAAAGAUUUCAGUACAGAUCAAUAAAAACAUUAACAAUAUGAAAUUAAGAGAUAUGGAGGCAAUCCUGUCAUGCAGAGUAAGUCCCAAUAAUUUAUGCAGACAUCUCCCCACUCAAGGAGAUGGAGCGUAACUCCCCAACCCUUUUGUGUGAGAUGUGCUUAGUGAUUUCCUUCCAAACCGUGAAGUAGGGAAAUGGAGGGAAAAAAGUAACUUCACAGUGGAGCAACUUGACCUCACCCUAAUUAAUAUGAACAUCAAGAGGGAUUAAGUCCUUUUGACAACAUGUAGCCUUGACGUGAUGUGAUGAGAAUGGUACUUCAUACAUCUGUGAUCUUCUUCCCGGUCUAAUCAUGAGAAAAACAAGAGACAAUCCCCGAUUGAGGAAAACUAUACAAAAUACUGAAGCAAUAUUCCUAAAAACUGUGAAAGUCAUUAAAACAAGGAAUCAAAAUAGUGUUUUAGGAGCUACUCAACAUAACCUAAC
This is a long non-coding RNA of Felis catus (domestic cat), 3012 nucleotides long. RefSeq lists it as uncharacterized. The transcript has 3 exons. The record is from RefSeq and is a predicted model, not a curated record. Lineage: Eukaryota; Metazoa; Chordata; Mammalia; Carnivora; Felidae.